CCAGAGUCCCAAGAAGGAACUCGGCUCUUCAGAGAUUCAGGACUCAGGAGAAGACUUCGUGGUGAGAGUUGACGUAGAAGUUGACAGCCCAAACCCCACACCAGUUCUUAGAAGUAUUGAUCUCCAAGAAAGAGCAGAAAGAGCUACAACUCCUGCUCCCAGGGACUUACAGGUCCCAGAAUGAGAAAGUCCCUCUUUAGUGGAUCUAGAGAAUCUAUUCAUUAAACCUGGAGAAGAACAUGAGGUUAUAGUUUCUU
RNAcentral lists this long non-coding RNA (257 nucleotides) under Pan troglodytes (chimpanzee). RNAcentral's name for it is "long non-coding RNA NONPTRT014363". Lineage: Eukaryota; Metazoa; Chordata; Mammalia; Primates; Hominidae. The record is from RNAcentral.